ACCCCUAGUCCUAACGCACCCUCAAAGCUUUGUCUCGGUGGGACAAACUGACUCCUGUUGGGUGCGCCCUUGAAAUGUGGUCUUUGGUAGUUGAGGGUUGAAUCGGGUUGGUUAAAGAACAAUGUCUAUUGUGGUGUGUAGUAGUCUUGUUGGUAAUCCUCUUGUAUACCUGUGUCGGGGCUAAGUGGAGGACUAGAAGAGCCCGGGACAUCGUCGUGAUGGAAGUGUUGGGAUUGGUGUUGGUGGGGGGAUUGAGUUUGUGGUAGGUGUUGGGACUGUUGAUGGUGGUGGGAAUGUUGAGGUUGGUGUUGAUAAUCUUCAUGAUAUUGGGGUUGAGUUUGUGGUAUGUAGUGUUGAUUUGGUUGGGGGGUGGACAUGUGUUGUGGUGGUUGUUGUUGGUAAUACGGUGGUGGUGGUUGUUUUUGGUAAUAUGGUGGUGGUGAUUGUUGUUGAUAAUACGGUGGUGGUGGUUGUUGUUGGUAAUAUGGUGGUGGUUGUUGUUGUUGGUAAUAUU
RNAcentral lists this long non-coding RNA (514 nucleotides) under Lathyrus oleraceus (garden pea). Its description in RNAcentral is "Pisum sativum (pea) long non-coding RNA (PSAT_LNC009417)". Lineage: Eukaryota; Viridiplantae; Streptophyta; Magnoliopsida; Fabales; Fabaceae. The record is from RNAcentral.